RNAcentral lists this ribosomal RNA (1107 nucleotides) under Triticum aestivum (bread wheat). RNAcentral describes it as "partial small subunit ribosomal RNA". The record is from RNAcentral. Lineage: Eukaryota; Viridiplantae; Streptophyta; Magnoliopsida; Poales; Poaceae.
AUGCCUUGUUGCUCUUGCUGCUUCCGCGUCUCCAACAAGGAAGAGAAACACGCCUCCGAUCUCUACUCCCGUUCCAUGGGCAGACUGUCAUCUGAGAAGAAGAUCAAGCUCUUCUCCUACGCGGAGCUGCGGUCGGCGACCAACAACUUCCACCGGAGCAACCACAUCGGGCGAGGCGGCUUCGGCGCCGUCUACAAGGGCGCGCUGCGGGACGGCAGCGGCGACGUGGCGGUCAAGGUGCUGUCCGCGCACUCCCGGCAGGGCACCAGGGAGUUCCUCACCGAGAUCGACGUCAUCGCCAACGUGGAGCACCCCAGCCUGGUGUCCCUGCUGGGCUGCUGCGUGGAGGGCCGCCACCGCAUCCUCAUCUACGAGCUCCUCCCCAACGGCAGCCUCCACGGCGCCCUCCUCGCCUCCGCCAGCGACCCCUCCAGGCUCACUUGGGCGAUCAGGCGCGGCGUCUGCGUCGGCGUCGCUAGGGGCCUGGCGUUCCUGCACGAGGAGAUGGCAUCCGGCCCCAUCGUGCACAGGGACAUCAAGGCCAGCAACGUCCUCCUCGACGCCGGCUACGGCGCCAAGAUCGGCGACUUCGGCCUCGCCAAGCUCUUCCCGGACGCCGCCACGCACGUCAGCACCCGCGUCGCGGGGACCGCGGGGUACCUCGCGCCGGAGUACGCGCUGUACGGCCAUCUCACCAAGAAGGCCGACGUCUACAGCUUCGGGGUGCUGCUGCUGGAGACCGUCACCGGCAAGAGCAGCUCCAGGAGCUUCCAUUUAUCCGACGAGGGGGACAAGGUGCUGGUGGAGAGGGUGUGGGAGCUCUACGAGGCGGCCAACCUCAGGGACAUGAUCGACCCGGCGAUGGAAGACGGCUGCAAUGAGGAGGAGGCUGUGAGGUACAUGAAGGUGGCGCUGCUGUGCACGCAGGCGACGCCGCUGCGGCGGCCGUCGAUGCCGCGGGUGCUGGAGAUGCUGGAGAGGGAGGAUGUCCGGUUGAGGGAGAAAGAGAUCACGCCGCCGGGCUACGUCCUCCGGGACAACAAGGACAUCCACUCCACGUCCAUGGUCGUUGCUUCGCACACCGUGACGGAGGUAGCGCCAAGGUAA